CGCAUCUGUGCAUGCAGCAUAUCAAUAAGCGGAGGAAAAGAAACUAACAAGGAUUCCCUUAGUAACGGCGAGUGAAGCGGGAAGAGCUCAAAUUUGAAAUCUUCAAGGUUUUACCUUGACGAACUGUAGUUUAAAGAAGUGUUUUCUGUUGAAGUUUUGGUAAAAGUUCUUUGGAAUAGGACAUCAUAGAGGGUGAGAAUCCCGUAUUUGACCAUUAUUUUCAGCUGUGUGAUACACUUUCAAAGAGUCGGAUUGUUUGGGAAUGCAGUCCAAAAUGGGUGGUAAAUUUCAUCUAAAGCUAAAUAUUGGCGAGAGACCGAUAGCGAACAAGUACCGUGAGGGAAAGAUGAAAAGAACUUUGAAAAGAGAGUUAGACAGUACGUGAAAUUGUCAAAAGGGAAGCGUUUGACACCAGUGUUGUUUUCUCGAAAAUCAAUUAAAAAGAGUUAGAUUUUGUUGUGUAUUGACCUUAACAGCUUGCAUUUCAAUUUUCUUGCUUUUUUUAAUGCACUUUUCGUUUAACAAGUCAACAUCAGUUUCUUUUGUUGUAAAAAGGUCAUUGGAAGGUGGCUUUCUUUUCGGAGAAAGUGUUUAUAGCCUUUGACUCCUGCAAUCGGAGAGACUGAGGUCUGCAGCGUAGAUCCUUCGGGGUUAGAUACAUUUGUGCUAAGUUAUAGCUUUUUAUAGACAACUUGUUAACUAUGAUUAGUCUUGUAGCUUACUCGCUUAUGCUAUUUUACCUACGCUUAGGAUGUUGAUGUAAUACUGCGAGCA
Molecule: ribosomal RNA, 774 nt
Filed under: uncultured Neocallimastigales
Lineage: Eukaryota; Fungi; Neocallimastigomycota; Neocallimastigomycetes; Neocallimastigales
Description: partial large subunit ribosomal RNA
Rfam family: Eukaryotic large subunit ribosomal RNA
Source: RNAcentral